Molecule: ribosomal RNA, 274 nt
Filed under: Paenibacillus sp. ISO162_OTU19727
Lineage: Bacteria; Bacillati; Bacillota; Bacilli; Caryophanales; Paenibacillaceae
Description: partial 16S ribosomal RNA
Rfam family: Bacterial small subunit ribosomal RNA
Source: RNAcentral
ACGAACGCUGGCGGCGUGCCUAAUACAUGCAAGUCGAGCGGAGUUGAUGAGAUGCUUGCAUCUCUGAUACUUAGCGGCGGACGGGUGAGUAACACGUGGGUAACCUGCCUUUAAGACUGGGAUAACAUUCGGAAACGGAUGCUAAUACCGGAUAGGCGAUUUGGUCGCAUGAUCGAAUCGAGAAAGAUGGAGCAAUCUAUCACUUAGAGAUGGACCCGCGGCGCAUUAGCUAGUUGGUGAGGUAACGGCUCACCAAGGCGACGAUGCGUAGCCG